CCCCACCCAUGGGGCCGGACGGGGGGAAAAGACCCGGGCCUACAGGCCCCAGUGAGUAGGAGGGGCGCGGCGGUGUGCGCGGAAGGGACUGGGCGUGAGCCUACCUGGAGCCGCCGUCGGUGCAGAUCUUGGUGGUAGUAGCAAAUACUCGAGCGGCACCCUGGAGGUUUGAUGUGGAGAAGGGUUCCAUGUGAACAGCCUUUGCACAUGGGUCAGUCGAUCCUAAGCUGCAGGAGAAAUCCGGGCUCGGCGAAACAGGCGCUCAGGUAAUUUUUUUGGUUUGUUUCCUUUACAUUGUCGCCUGCCGAACCUAAGCGAGAGGGAAUCCGGUACUGAUUCCGGAACCUGGUCACGGACAACCUCUUCUCUGAAGAGGGUUCUUGGGGUCCUCAUGACCUACACCGUAAGGUGGCUAAACUCGGGGAAGUCGGCCGCCGUCCCGGGCAGAGUUUUCUGUUCUGUAUAAGGGCCUGGAUCCCUGGAAUCGCCUCGCGCGGAGAGAGGGAACUGGUUUGUUUUCAGCCCGAAGAGCCCCGCAGUUCUCGCGGGGUCCGAUUGGAUGGCGGUCGAACCUUGAAAACUCGAGAGAGGGCGUACAAUUUUCUGGUCAGGCC
This 614-nucleotide ribosomal RNA is filed under the name Heterodesmus adamsii. Its description in RNAcentral is "LSU rRNA". It matches the Rfam family "Eukaryotic large subunit ribosomal RNA", at positions 1347 to 1843 of the family's 3401-position model. Lineage: Eukaryota; Metazoa; Arthropoda; Ostracoda; Myodocopida; Cypridinidae. The record is from RNAcentral.